AACCUGUGGCGGCGGCGGCGGCAGCAGCUGGAGAGCGAGAGAGCACCGGCUCAUUCAGUCCUGUGCUCUCUCUCUCCGUGGUGGAGGACGUCUCUCUCUCCCUCCCUCCCUCUCUCUCUCUCUCUCUCUAACACCUUCCAUCCAUUUCCUUUGUCUCGGGGGUUUUCCGUCUCCACUUGUCCCUGUUUACCCAGGACUGGACCAUCCCGUCAGUCAGUGCGCAGCUGUUGUUGGCACUCCCACAUCUGCUGCUGUCGGCUCCACAGCCAUAUAGACGACGCUCGGCCGCGGAACAUGUUCGUGUGUGUCUGCGGAGAGCCGCCUUUCACUGCACACACACACACACACACACACACACACACACACACACACACACACACACACACACACACACACACACACACACACACACACACACACACACACACACACAGAGGUUUGCGUGUGUUUGCUUGCAGCACUGCUUUUUUUGCCAGGAUGGAAAAAAGAAGCAGAGAAGGAAGAUGUGGUUUCUGUUUCACCGCGAUGCUGCAGGACAGGUGCGUGAUGAAUGUGGAAAUCAGGUAAUCUUGUGGACACUGCUGCACGGACAUGACGCUGUACUUAUCUACGGAGCUGCUGACAGGUCACCUUUCAGGACGCCAGGAGGAUCCACAUGGGAACCAACAGCAUGACAGGUUAUGUGUAUUGGCUGGAUUAUCUUUAUUCACAUCAUGACAGGAGUUAAUCACAGGCACAUUCACAGGAGACUUUAAUGGCAACUCUGUCAAGCCAGUAAGAUAAAUUACAUCAAUUAAGCCUAUUUCAUGUGAUACAUCUUUUCGCAUUGGGUGUAUUUCAUCCCUGUUGUCUCUAAAUAAAAAGGAGAAAUGAGAGAAGAGCCAUUCCCUGGGGUUACAUGGGAAGACAGUUGGGUUGCGUCCCACUUUUCUGCUGCUUUGUGUUGUGUGUUCCUCUCCAGUUACACUGAAGAAAGAGCAGAUCUGGGCUCGCCCUGGACCUCAUUGUAAACCUGGCGACAUUGCACCACCACCCCCCCUCCGCUGUGCUGCAAACCAAAAAGACUGUGAUCGAUGCACGAUGCCACCACUGCUCUCCUGCACCUUUCAGACGGAGAGGAUCCAUGUUGGAGUGUUCCCCCACUGACAGAUGAUCUCUGCUGCCUUUGUGCGUCAGUGAACGCAGCUUUGAAGAGUUAAAAAACCCACCGCUCCCUAGUAUAGUCAGUGUGAGCAUGAUCAGAUUAAGCAGGAAUGUAUUUCAUAUGAAAAAGUUUUUGCUGGAGCGUUGAGGUUUUUUUUUUUGUCACCCCUCAAACGUCUGUAUUUCUCCCCCCCCUCAUCCCCUGCUGUGAUUAAUACCAAAUACAGCUUCAUCCGCCCCCGCUCUCACUUUUGGCUGAUCAAAAACACUGACACUGCAGCCAUCGAACGCGUCACGCUCGCUUUCUUCAGCUGCCGUGUGCAGUGACCUCUUCCCGCUGUUACCUUGGUUACUCUGUCUAACGCUGUAGUCACUUCUCGCCCAUGUAGGAGAGACACUUUUAACAACAGUGUUUUCUUGUGUAUUAACUUCUCGACAAAGCAAGCAUGUAUCUGUGCCAGGACCAGAAUACAUUUUAAUAUAUUAAGUGUGUGAGGAUGGUUUCCACACAUUUUACAAAGUGUGAUUAAGACAGUAUGUCUUUGUCUGUCUUGAAUCCUCUUAAUUUGAGUUACUUUAUACAGAAUUUUUUUUUUACUGUCAGUGUGGGUGUGUUUGUGUGUCUGUGUGAGUGCACUUGUGUGUAUGCAUGUGCUCUAAUCAGGUUUGUGUGUGUUCAUCCUCGUAACUGUGCAUGUGUAUUUGUCUGUCUGAUAUUUGUACUGGGCCUGAAACUAUAAACUGCUUAACUGUGAUUUCUCCAUAGCUGAAAACCUUCUUUAAAAAAAACGCCACUGGAUGUAACAGAGAAGGGAUAAAAAAAAUAUUUACAUAUGAUUCUUAGCAUUUGUUACGACCUCAUUGAAGAACCAGUUGGGUGAUUGUCACAAGAAUGCUGCUGGAAAUUAAUGGUGUGUAGUUUUCUAAACGACGCCUGCUGGCAUUAAUUACACUGCUCGGUUGCUCGCAGCCUCGUCAUCUGAUACUUAAGCAAAUGACAUCAAAUGCUAAUAAUUAUGUGCAAAUAGCUUUUUACCCAGGUCUGGAUCGUACUACUAACAGUAUCUCACUAAUAUCUAACAGUACUAAUGUGUGCUAAUGAUGAUUACUAACCUGUCCUCUGAAUGCUGAUGGCUGGCCUGGUUCCUCUCUAACCCACUGACUAACCCUCUGCUUUAUACGUACACACUCCUCUCUCAUGACCCUGCAAUCCUUCUACCGAUGGCCACCGUCAGAUUAAUUAUUAAUCACAAAGAAAAAUCUAAAAUUUUUUAAAGUGAGCGCGUCAAGAAGGGUUUCAGGACAUGGGAAGGGAAAUGUUAUUAACCACCAAAUGAAAAGAGGAGCAGACGCAGCUGCUGGUAUAAAGAUGGGUUGACCACGCACCUAACAGAAGCUGACUCUCAUCUGAUUCCACAUGAUUCUUACAGUUUAUUCCCUCGCCGAAGGCUGAAUUCAAAUAUUCGGAGAGCAGCUUUGUGUCUGUGUCUGUGCACUGUGUGGUCAACCUGUGCAGGUGAGUGCCUGGCUUGUUGUGCAGUGACACACACAAGCCAAGCAAACCUCAGCUCCACUACUAACUCCUUCUGGUGUCGAUACUAACAAUGGCGAGGGUGUAAAGACCCGCCUGUCGCUCUUACUAACAUCUCUGUUCUCCCUGACUGAAACACUUUCAGUCCUGAUGUCUCCUUCUUAAUUUCUUUGAUCAGAUCAGAUCUAUACUAGCACCAGUGAUGUUCAUUAAAUCACAUUGCAUGGAAACCUUUAUCCUAAAUAUCCUCUAUAGUGUCAUGAGUAAGUGCAGUGAGCCGUACGACUAAAAACAACACGAGUCCUGAUGACUGAGCUCAGCAACUACUAACAUCACCUGAAGUGAACAGUUACUAACCCGAAGAGCGUUUGAACAGCUCUCUGCAAACUAACAAACUAACCCACUAAUAAACUAAUAAUCUAACAAAAACAACCACUAAAUUUACUAACUCACUUUGUGAUGAGACUUAGUGAAGCAGCCUGAUUUUGAGGAGUUGCAUUAUUUAUUGAAUGUACUAACAGAGUUAAUAUUUUAUGAAUUCAUGACAGGAUUGGAUGUGCCUGUGUGUGUGUGUGUGCGUGUGUGUGUGUGUGUGUGUGUCAGAGAGAGCACAGAAGAGCAUGUGAGUGUGUUUGCGCAGAAUGUGACAUGUGACCAUGUUCAUCGGAGCCAAAUGUUUCCACUAUUACUCUUUCCAACGAAAUGAGCAUUAAGAUGCCUCUAAAUCUCAGUUAUAACAAUCAGCCUGUGCAUGUGAAUGCAUCAUGGCAUGUAAAGAAAAAUGAGUUCAAUGUAUACAACUAUUUUUAUACCUUAUUGCUAAUUCAUCAGUUGUCUUUUACGAUAAACUUUUGUAAUAAACAUAUAUAAACAAAA
Long non-coding RNA from Hippoglossus stenolepis (Pacific halibut), 3550 nucleotides. RefSeq lists it as uncharacterized. NCBI's taxonomy places the organism in Eukaryota, Metazoa, Chordata, Actinopteri, Pleuronectiformes, Pleuronectidae. The transcript has 3 exons. The record is from RefSeq and is a predicted model, not a curated record.